This 1725-nucleotide long non-coding RNA is filed under the name Pomacea canaliculata. Its description in RNAcentral is "uncharacterized LOC112573463, transcript variant X3". The record is from RNAcentral. Lineage: Eukaryota; Metazoa; Mollusca; Gastropoda; Architaenioglossa; Ampullariidae.
GUAUAAUUGGUGCAUGCCGGAAAAUCUAUUUUCCAGAAUUGUUGACCGUAUUGAAUAUUUCGGUAAUUGUACAGAUUUUUAGGUUGCCAUGUGAGUUGCAGAAUGAGCUACACAUCCAUGACUCCAUGGAAUUCAAUGACGUCGUGGUCUAUGGCAACACCAAGUAAAACCACUUAUUAUUGCUAAGCGACCUGCCGCUGUACAGACGACUAGUUACUAUGGUGAUGGUUUCUGCGAAACUGCGCCUAAUAAUUCACACUUUUUCAUCACGCGAAUGGUUGAACAAAAAUAUGAUUAGUAUCUGAAAUCAACAAUGCCUAGAAGCGGAAGAGGAAAGUGUUUGUACUAUCAAAGACAAUGGAAGGAAGGGUAAGGCCCGUAAGGUGCGAUGUUCUGUAAAGGAGUACCGAGACCUCGUGAGGUCUAUAGACUCACUACAAGGCAAUAGACCCAGCAUCAUUCAACAGGAGGAGCAUGAAGCCAGAAUCAUUCAACAGGAGGAGCAAGAACCCAGUGUAACCUUUCCACUUGAAACCAAUGAAUCUGAGGUGGCAGAACCUAUAGCAGCCACAAAAAAAGGGCAGUAAACGAGGCAGAAGGAUGGAGAAAAAUACGAUCUGAUCUGGCUGUUGCCCGGAUGGAAGGAUUUUGUCCUGCUUCAAACCAAUGUUCCUCAUGUGGCUCUUCUGAGGUUCCCGAAAUCAUAUGGUGUCCUGACUGUGGACCCAACACUCUGUAUUGCAUGAUGUGUAAUGAGAAUAUCCACCGCAUGGUAAUGUACCAUCAGGCGUAUGUAUGGAAAAAUGAUGUUUAUAUGUUUGUGCCCCUUAUUAAAGAAACAACCCUCAUCCAUGAACACUCAUGUGACAGCAUAUACUCUCGUCAAAUAAGAGUUUUUGAUGCAUUGGGGAGACAGCAUAAAGUAAAAUCCCAUUUCUGCCAGUGUGAGCCAGAAGCUGUUACCUUAGUUAGAAGGGGAUUAUGGCCAGCAACACCCAAACAGCCAGAAACAGCCAGAAACAGCCUUCACGAUAACACUGAUGGAGCUAGGGCGAAUGCUACAGCUUGAAGGUCAAUUAUCUCUGCAAAAGUUUUGCUUUGCCUUAAAAAGAAGAACUACUUUCCUACCUCCUCACACAACUGACUGCAGAGACCUCUACCUGGCACUGGGAAACGCACUAACUGAAUUCCAUCAUCAUCAAGUGUCGUGCCUUGAGAUGGCACAUUCUCCAGACAUUGUGGGCAAGAACUGCCCAGUAUGUACAUUGGAGUGCUCAGACUUUCAGGCUGGUGACAUGGUUAGGGCUAAAAAUUAAAGUGCAAAUCUGGAUAUAAAAGGAGUGUUUGGCUCUGUGUGUCACCAUGGAUUUCCCCUCUAUUUUGUGAACAUGGAGCAUGGCGAAAGAUUUGCAUAUCCAGUCUAUAUUAUGAAGCAGAUUGCUUCAAGGCAGGUUGGUGCUACAAAUGAAAAGCAGAUUGUCAUGUAUGAUAUUGCCUGUAGACUGCAAGCUCAUCUUGGGCAGGCGGGAAGGAUGGAGCUUGUCCACUUCCCAACGUGUGCAUCUCUACGUCAGGAUCAGCAGCAACAAAUGUCUUUCCCCAAAGAAAGAAUGAUAGAACUUUUGGGGCUCUUGAAGGAUAAUUUCAGUGAAAGAUUUAAGGAUUUUCAUGAUUUGAAGGAUGAAAUACGUCUCUUCAAAAAUCCAUUUGCGGCAGAUGUGUCAA